GAUGAACGCUGGCGGCGUGCUUAACACAUGCAAGUCGAACGGUGAAGCCCAGCUUGCUGGGUGGAUUAGUGGCGAACGGGUGAGUAACACGUGAGUAACCUGCCCUUGACUCUGGGAUAAGCCUGGGAAACUGGGUCUAAUACUGGAUAUGACUUCUCAUCGCAUGGUGGGGGGUGGAAAGAUUUAUUGGUCUUGGAUGGACUCGCGGCCUAUCAGCUUGUUGGUGAGGUAAUGGCUCACCAAGGCGACGACGGGUAGCCGGCCUGAGAGGGUGACCGGCCACACUGGGACUGAGACACGGCCCAGACUCCUACGGGAGGCAGCAGUGGGGAAUAUUGCACGAUGGGCGCAAGCCUGAUGCAGCGACGCCGCGUGAGGGAUGACGGCCUUCGGGUUGUAAACCUCUUUCAGUAGGGAAGAAGCGAGAGUGACGGUACCUGCAGAAGAAGCGCCGGCUAACUACGUG
Molecule: ribosomal RNA, 466 nt
Filed under: uncultured bacterium
Lineage: Bacteria
Description: partial 16S ribosomal RNA
Rfam family: Bacterial small subunit ribosomal RNA
Source: RNAcentral